UAGACAUCUGGUGUAUCUUUCAUGGA
RNAcentral lists this non-coding RNA (26 nucleotides) under Homo sapiens (human). Lineage: Eukaryota; Metazoa; Chordata; Mammalia; Primates; Hominidae. The record is from RNAcentral.